AUUGAACGCUGGCGGCAUGCUUUACACAUGCAAGUCGAACGGCAGCGCGGGCUUCGUCCUGGCGGCGAGUGGCGAACGGGGGAGUAAUGCAUCGGAACGUGCCCAGUAGUGGGGGAUAGCCCGGCGAAAGCCGGAUUAAUACCGCAUACGACCUGAGGGUGAAAGCGGGGGACCGAAAGGCCUCGCGCUAUUGGAGCGGCCGAUGUCGGAUUUGCUAGUUGGUUGGGUAAAGGCUUACCAAGGCGACGAUCCGUAGCUGGCCUGAGAGGACGACCAGCCACACUGGAACUGAGACACGGCCCAGACUCCUACGGGAGGCAGCAGUGGGGAAUUUUGGACAAUGGGGGCAACCCUGAUCCAGCCAUGCCGCGUGCGGGAAGAAGGCCUUCGGGUUGUAAACCGCUUUUGUUCGGGAAGAAAUCCUCUGGGCUAAUACCCCGGGGGGAUGACGGUACCGGAAGAAUAAGCACCGGCUAACUACGUG
Molecule: ribosomal RNA, 484 nt
Filed under: uncultured bacterium
Lineage: Bacteria
Description: partial 16S ribosomal RNA
Rfam family: Bacterial small subunit ribosomal RNA
Source: RNAcentral